Molecule: ribosomal RNA, 390 nt
Filed under: Embryophyta sp.
Lineage: Eukaryota; Viridiplantae; Streptophyta
Description: partial small subunit ribosomal RNA
Rfam family: Eukaryotic small subunit ribosomal RNA
Source: RNAcentral
AUUCCAGCUCCAAUAGCGUAUAUUAAGUUGUUGCAGUUAAAAAGCUCGUAGUUGGAUCUUGGGUCGUAAGGGCCGGUCCGCCUACUCGGUGUGCACCUGCCCUUCCGUCCCUUUUGUCGGCGGCGUGCUCCUGGCCUUAAUUGGCUGGGUCGCGGUUCCGGCGCUGUUACUUUGAAAAAAUUAGAGUGUUUAAAGCAGGCUUAGGCCGUUGAAUACAUUAGCAUGGAAUAAUAAGAUAGGACUUUGGUGGUCUAUUUUGUUGGUUUGCACACCAAGGUAAUGAUUAAUAGGGACAGUUGGGGGUAUCCGUAUUUCGUAGUCAGAGGUGAAAUUCUUGGAUUUACGAAAGACGAACUACUGCGAAAGCAUUUACCAAGGAUGUUUUCAUUA